CCAGACUCCUACGGGAGGCAGCAGUGGGGGAUAUUGCACAAUGGGGGAAACCCUGAUGCAGCGACGCCGCGUGAGUGAAGAAGUAUUUCGGUAUGUAAAGCUCUAUCAGCAGGGAAGAAAAUGACAGUACCUGACCAAGAAGCCCCGGCUAACUACGUGCCAGCAGCCGCGGUAAUACGUAGGGGGCAAGCGUUAUCCGGAUUUACUGGGUGUAAAGGGAGCGUAGACGGUUAUGUAAGUCUGGAGUGAAAGCCCGGGGCCCAACCCCGGGACUGCUUUGGAAACUGUGUAACUGGAGUGCAGGAGGGGCAGGCGGAAUUCCUGGUGUAGCGGUGAAAUGCGUAGAUAUCAGGAGGAACACCGGCGGCGAAGGCGGCCUGCUGGACUGAAACUGACGUUGAGGCUCGAAAGCGUGGGGAGCAAACAGGAUUAGAUCCCCGAGUA
Molecule: ribosomal RNA, 444 nt
Filed under: uncultured bacterium
Lineage: Bacteria
Description: bacterial SSU rRNA
Rfam family: Bacterial small subunit ribosomal RNA
Source: RNAcentral